GGCAGCAGAACAACGCGGAGCGACUUGCAGGUGUCGCUCCGGGAAGUCGCUCCAGGGCCGAUGGUCGCGAGCGACUUUGGUGUGUCGCUCCAACGGGUCACUCUGGAUCGGGAGCGACCUUGGUAGGUAGCUCUGAGAGGUCGCUCCAGGGUUAUCUAAAACUGUUCGGAGUAACGAGAACGCGAGCGACUUCAUGGCGUCGCUUUAGGAAGGUCGCUCUGAGAGGUGGGACACAGCGACUUCGUGAUGUCGCUCCGGGAGGUCGCUCCCAUGCUCUGAUCGUUUAAUGAUCACCUAUUUCACCUCCUUUGAGCUCCAGAUGCAUCCAAAUGUCCCCAAGAACUCCAUGUGGCACUCCAGUACCUAAUAGAGACUCAUGUAUGCAAAAUGCAACCUAAACAUGUCUAAAUCCUAAUCUCUAUGAUGAAAAUAUUUAUGAAUGAAUGGAUAAAACAAUGCAAAUAUGCAAGAUAUCAACUCCCCCAAACUUGUUCUUUUACUUGUCCACAAGUGAACUUUCUAGAACUCAUAGGGAGAGAGGUUUGAAGAUGAGAGCUCUUAGCCAAGAGAAACACAACUAGCACUCAAUUCAACAUCUAAUCCAACAUGAGCACACUCUCUUAUUACACUCUAGCUUCUCUAGGCCUAUAUCAACUCCUUUUUUUCCCUUAUACUCAUCAUCAAGCAUCCACACAUUCAAAUCAACCAACUCUCACAUUCAUUAAGCACAAGACAUCAAGUGAAUUCUUGCAAAUGGUCAGUUGGUCCAAGUCAUUUGGUUGGGUAAGGGAAGGCUUUUAGUCAAGUGAGUCCAGAGGUUCAAAAUAUAUGAUCUUUAAGGUGGUUUACUCUCAAAACAAGUAGCCUUGACAUUGCACAUAAUAUAUCUAAGAAAGGGACCAACUCAUGCAUACAAUGCUCAAUCUCCAUUGUUCUACCCUUUUCCCAAACAUACAAGUUACACAAUCAUUCCCAAAUGUCAAACCCAACUCACAUCUCUCACCAAAAGAUCCUAAGAACAUUAACUCCUUCUCUUUGAAAUUAAAUCAACAAGGGAUUUUUCACAACCUCAAAACAUUACUUAGCUCCUAACAACUUUGCUAGCCCCCUUUUUCUUUCUUUUUCUUUACUUUUCAUAUAUAAUUUCUUUUUUAUCCUAACAACUUUGCUAGCCCCCUUUUUCUUUCUUUUUUUUUUCUUUUCAUAUAUAUAUAUAUAUAUAUAUAUAUAUUUUUUUUUUAGAUGGGGGCCAAGACUUUUCAUAACUUGAGCUAGAGGUUUUUCUACUUAUCCCAAUAAGACAAUUCACUUAAACACAAAGAGUCAUUUCUUUUCCUUUUUCAUUGCUCCCAAAUCAUAAUUACAACUCUCACCCCCCACCUAUAGCUAGACAAUAGAGUGCCUAAUCUAGCAAGAAUGAAGAUCAAGCAUUGUCGUUCCCGAUACUCUCAACAUUAUGCACAUGUAAGACUUUCCGAAAAGGUCUCACUCAUCAAACAAUGAAAGCUUAAAAGGAGGGAAAGGUUUUGGGAGUGGUCUACCACUAGAUUUUGUCAAAAUAAGAUUGGCAUAAAGGAUGUGACAACUCAGGUGUGUAUAGCCAUGACUCAGUACACAAGGGACCAUGAGCAAGAAGCAUUAAGUUCGUUCAGUUCAAAUAAGCUUGUAGUUGGCUUCAAAGACUGAGUUUCAGCAACUAAUGAGAUUCAGGAAGAGUCUUAAGGCUCGAAGCAUACAAGUGUUUUUGAGGGGUGCAAAAGCUACUCAGGUGCAACGUAGUGUUCUUUACAAUGCAUUUAAAAUCAUUGCUCCCAAUGCAAGUGAAUGCAACCUAUAUGCUCUAGACUCUCCUAAAAAUGCAAGUGAUGCAAUCUAUAUGAUUUUUUUUUUGUUUUUUUGUUUUUUUGCUAAUAGGUAUGUAUGCAAGACUCAAUGAAAGAUCAUCAAAGCAAACAUGGUCAAAUAAUUGGUACCUCCCCCAAACUUAAAUGACACAGUCUCUGUGUUGUCAAGUAGAGAGAGAUACCCAAAAGAGAAAGCUAAUAUGCAAAAAUGAAAUGGUAUAUACAAGGGAAAGUAGAGAAGUACCUCAAGUGGAAAGUGGAGAAGGAGGAUCCUUCUCAAUGUAGGGGUCUCCACAAGUGAUGGUUCCACAAUACUCAACAUCCAGUGGAGGCUGAAUUGGGUAAGAGACAGCUUUGUUGACAUUGAGGAGUGUGACCUUCUUGUUGGCGAAAUCGAUGCAAGCACCCACAGUAGUAAGGAAUGGUGUGCCCAGGAUCAAUGGAACUCUCUUCUUAGUUGCCAUCUUCAAGACAGUGAGGUCUAUAGGGAUGGUGCAAGAUCCAAUCUUCAAAGGGAAAUCCUUGAUGAGACCAAUAGGGGUAGUAGAAGAAGAAUCCCCAAACGUGAGAGAGGAAGUAUCGUGCUCCAUGUGUUCAAUCUGAAGACUCUUCACCAUCUCCAUUGAGAUCACAUUCACAGUUGCACCAGAAUCAACAAGAGCAUCAUCAAAGGUGAGCUUACCAAGGGAGCAAGACAAGGUGAACUUCCCUUGGGAUUCUAGUUUAGGGAGAGACUUUGGUGUGAUGGCUGGAUCAAGUUUCAAAGUUGAAAUGUUGAGAAGCUCUGCUACUUCUGCUUGGUGGUCUACAAUGUCCUUGAUGAGCAUCAUUUGGACAUGAGCCUCACGCAUACCCGAGAUCUCUGGAAGCUUAACUCCAAUAUCACUUAAGUCUUUUCUGAACUUGGAAAUCACAUUCUUUUGAGUUUUGGUGAGGACCCUUUGUGGAAUUGGGAGCUUGUCAUAGGAUGACUGCUCAACCUCAAUGGUGUCCUCCAGCUUGACCCCUUUCAGCUUCUGGGUAGCUCUCUUCGCAACUGGUUUCUCAGCCAUGGGUGCAUCUACCUUCAAAAUCUUUACUUCAACCAUUUUGUCAGCUUCCUCCACAAUCUUUGUUUCAGCUGUUGCUACAAUCAGAUGCUGAACCUGUUCAAUCUCAGCUCCAAACACCAAUCUUUCAAUUUUAUCUACCUCUUUCUUGUGGUUACUCAAUUCAAUCCCUGAAGAAGUUGUAGAGAUGACAACAUUGCAAUACUCCUUGGGUUUUUGCUCAGAUUUUCCAGGUAGAGACCCUUGCUGGCGAUUCUGGUGAGUUGUCAUGGAAGCAAACUGGUUUUCCAAAGCCCUGAACUUGUUGUUGAGCUCAUUGUAACUUCCAUCAAUCUUGGAGUGAAGGUUCUUCAACUCAUAUCCAACCUGCUUUUCACUUCAAGUCUGAGACUCCAAGAUCUAUUUCAGUAGAACAUCAGUGCUGCUUUCCUGAGGAGUAGAGGUAGAAGGAUUAGGUUGUUGUUGAGAAGACUGGUUCCCUUUGUUGGAGAAACCAGGAGGAGGGUUUUGCUGAGGCUGAUAGUUGCCUUGCUGGUUGUUCCUAGGCGGAUAACCACUCUGUUGGUUGUUAGGAUAGGAUUUCUGUUGGUAGUUGUUGUACUGAAAGUUGGGCUCUUUCUUGUACCAGCUACCAUUGUUGUUGAUGAAACACAACUCUUCUUGCCCUUCCAAACCCUCAACUUCAUGGACAACAUGUGUUGCUUCUUGGUUUGGGUUACCAACAAAGUGCAGCUGCUCUUGUGUGGCUUUAUCAGCAAGGAGGAUGUCUAUCUUAUCCUGGAGAGCUUUGAUCUCUUUCCUCGUCUGCUUAUCAUCACCCCUACUGCCCCUGUCGUGAUCUGCACUGUAGACUGCAUCACUCUUCACCAUGUUGUCAACCAACUCUUCUGCAUCAUCUUUAGUUCUUCCUAAGAAGAACCCAUUGCUAGCUGUAUCCAAUCUGGCUCUGUACUUAGGAAGGGCACCUCUGUAGAAGGUACUGAGCAAGCUCUCCUUAGAGAAACCAUGAUGUGGGCAUUUGGUUUGAUAGCCUUUGAAUCUCUCCCAGGCUUCACUGAAUCCUUCCAAGUUCUUCUGUUGGAAACUGGAGAUCUCAUUUCUCAGCUUAACAGUUCUUGAGGAUGAGAAGAUUUUCUCCAAGAAUGCUCUCUUGCACUCAUCCCAAGUAGUGAUAGAGUCGCUGGGUAGAGACUUCUCCCACUGACGUGCCUUAUCCCCCAAAGAGAAAGGGAAUAACUUCAGCUUUAAGGCAUCCUCUGACACACCAUUGGUUUUUGACAACCCACAGUAGCUGUCGAACCUGUCCAAGUGAUCGAAUGGGUCCUCUAAAGCCAAUCCAUGAUAUUUGUUGUUCUCGAUCACAUUGAGGAUUCCGGACUUGACCUCAAAGUUGUUGGCUGCCACAGCCGGUGCUCGGAUUCCCAGUCUGUGACCAUGAAUGUUGGGCCGGUCAUAAGUACCAAUGGGUCGAGCUGCCCGCGGUUGGUGUUCUGCCCCUUGCGGUGGAUCUGCCAUAUCAAUAUCCAAUCUCUGCAAGUGGGCUUGUUGUUCGUCUUCUCUUCUAGAUCUAGCACACUUCCUCUCAAAAGCUCUGAUGUCUGCUACUAUUGGAACUAGGUUUGAUGGACCCCUGCUCCCCAAGUUCAUACACCUGAAAGUGAAAGGUAGGUAAAGAAGAAGAAUCAGUAACAAAACAAAAUUAAAAUGACUUAGUCUCAAGCAAGUGACUAAAUCUCAAUUUUUAAAUCUACUCAGAAUUUGGCAACGGCGCCAAUUUGAUGUAGGACUUUUCAAGGGUCCAAGAUCAAAUCAAUGUAGUAUAAAAGAUUGUCGAACCAGUUCUGACGGAUAUCAAAGCACUGAGAAUGCAAGUACUCACUUAAUCUAAGUGCAACCAAUUAUUUAAAAGGUUUCUAAACUAAUGAUUAAUGAUAAAUGAAAUGACUUUCUUUACUAAGGGAAAAGAGAACUCAUGGGCAUAGGGAUUAGACCUUGGGUGAUCAAGUAUCGAACUAAGGAUGGCAAAUGAUCAAUCAAACUAUCAACCUUAAGCCUAGACACAAUUCUAAGCAAGCUCUAUGUCUAGAUGAAUGCUCAUUUGCUAACAUAUCUCAAACAUCAAAUGUCUUUGGUUGAAUAAUAUGAAAGCAAUCAUUACUAACAAGUCUAUUAGCUAUCUUAGCACCUUUAACAACAAAUGUCUUUGGCAAAGUAUACUAAAAGCCUAGGAGAGUUGUCUCAGGCAUUUCAUCAAACACCUUUUUGGGUGGGAAAUGUCUAUUGAUCAACUUUUGAGUGGCCAACUCAGAAGAUGCAUUAUGAAUACUCUACUAGCAAGGAACAAGAAUGAUCUACACUAAAACAUUCUAGAACUAACCUAAUCACCCUUAAUCUCCCUAACCCAUGAAUUCAAAAAGUGAUUACUCAAUAAUCUCCAUGAUUCCUCUUAAACCCAUAUUGGAUUUCAGAUUAAUCAUGUAGAGAAAAAUAUAAGAAAUCAACAAUAACACAAGAACAUAACAAUCAAAAUCCAAGAGAUGAACUUCUCAAGAGAGUUUUUGUGUAUUUCUCAAUAGAUCCAAGAUAACCAGCCUCUGGUGGUUACCCAAAAAAAUCUUUAAAACAUAGGUUUUUCCAAGUACAAAACGUCCAAAAUAAAUUGCAAAAAGGUCCUUGAGAAAUCAUGAUUUUCGGCAGCAGAACAACGCGGAGCGACUUGCAGGUGUCGCUCCGGGAAGUUGCUCCAGGGCCGAUGGUCGCGAGCGACUUUGGUGUGUCGCUCCAACGGGUCACUCUGGAUCGGGAGCGACCUUGGUAGGUAGCUCUGAGAGGUCGCUCCAGGGUCAUCUAAGACUGUUCGGAGUAACGAGAACGCGAGCGACUUCAUGGCGUCGCUUUAGGAAGGUCGCUCUGAGAGGUGGGACACAGCGACUUCGUGAUGUCGCUCCGGGAGGUCGCUCCCAUGCUCUGAUCGUUUAAUGAUCACCUAUUUCACCUCCUUUGAGCUCCAGAUGCAUCCAAAUGUCCCCAAGAACUCCAUGUGGCACUCCA
RNAcentral lists this long non-coding RNA (5944 nucleotides) under Brassica napus (rape). RNAcentral's name for it is "long non-coding RNA (BNAP_LNC016963)". The stretch from base 3894 to 4000 matches the Rfam family "Plant small nucleolar RNA R71". Lineage: Eukaryota; Viridiplantae; Streptophyta; Magnoliopsida; Brassicales; Brassicaceae. The record is from RNAcentral.